CUGUACAGUUCUAGAGUUUGAUCCUGGCUCAGAUUGAACGCUGGCGGCAUGCCUUACACAUGCAAGUCGAACGGUAACAGGUCUUCGGACGCUGACGAGUGGCGAACGGGUGAGUAAUACAUCGGAACGUGCCCAGUCUGGGGGAUAACUACUCGAAAGAGUAGCUAAUACCGCAUACGAUCUGAGGAUGAAAGCGGGGGACCUUCGGGCCUCGCGCGAUUGGAGCGGCCGAUGGCAGAUUAGGUAGUUGGUGGGAUAAAAGCUUACCAAGCCGACGAUCUGUAGCUGGUCUGAGAGGACGACCAGCCACACUGGGACUGAGACACGGCCCAG
Molecule: ribosomal RNA, 333 nt
Filed under: uncultured bacterium
Lineage: Bacteria
Description: bacterial SSU rRNA
Rfam family: Bacterial small subunit ribosomal RNA
Source: RNAcentral